AAGUCGUAACAAGGUCUCCGUUGGUGAACCAGCGGAGGGAUCAUUACAGAGUUGCAAAACUCCCAACCCUUUGUGAACGAACCUACCAGUUGCCUCGGCGGCGAGCCCCCUGGGCGGACCGCCGGAGGAAUACAAACUCUUUGCAUUGCAGUAUCUCUGAUUACUUAUUCAAUAAGUUAAAACUUUCAACAACGGAUCUCUUGGUUCUG
RNAcentral lists this unclassified non-coding RNA (209 nucleotides) under Podospora sp. Its description in RNAcentral is "partial internal transcribed spacer region". The stretch from base 1 to 46 matches the Rfam family "Eukaryotic small subunit ribosomal RNA", at positions 1786 to 1831 of the family's 1831-position model. Lineage: Eukaryota; Fungi; Ascomycota; Sordariomycetes; Sordariales; Podosporaceae. The record is from RNAcentral.